AUACAAAAUAAGCCUUGAAAAAUUGUUGGCGCCCACCACACUCUUCUGAAAACAUGAAUGUGCUACUGGCCACAAAAAGGUUGGGGACCACUGAAUUAGAAGAUGACAUUUAAACACAGUGUUUGGCCUAAUAAUUCUUUCACUAUUCAGAUAUUCAUGUGCUUUAGACCAUCAGGAGUUGCCCAUAGUGUUGUUAAUGUAAACACGGCAGCUUGCUAAAUUAUAUUGUACAUAUCUCUGAAAUUGUUGAGUGCAUCUUUAAAAUCUCAGUCCUUGACCAAUAAAUAAGUAAAUAGAGAAGGGAGGAUUAACAUAUGUUAAAGUUACUAUUUGAAAUGUUGGUGAGUGAAUAUGUAAUAGAGUAAAAGAUUAAAGGGAUAAUGUCUCCAGUUAUCUAAAAUCAAGGAUUGUAUUGUGCAUUAGAAAUUCAAAUUCCUAGGUGAGAGUUGUUUUAGUCACAAUUAUAACCCUCACUUCAGAGGAUGGCAGUGCUUUCCAAACUACUGAGACGUUUUAAAAGUAAAGCUGCCAACAGUCUUGACAGUGUCCCUUCACUAAAGUCGUCUUUCUAUUAUCCUGAACAGUUUGUUGCAUUAGCUCUUUUGCGAAUAAUGAGUUAUGGAGUAGAAGCUAAAACUCAUUAACACACUAAAAUUUGAGUUAUGCUGUAUUAGUUAUCCACUAUAGUGAGUUGUUCUUUAUUAGUUCUUCAGUCUGUAUAUCACUGAAACCACAUACUCUAUGUAGAUAGAUCCUUAAAAUGGGUCUGACUUGAACUCUUGUGAAUACUUCUGCUCCAGGCCUGCCCCCAACCACAUCCCUGGCUCCUGCCCCGAGCCUUGGUCCCUGACUUUACAGCUCCGCCCCCAGCCUCCGUUCCCGGCCCCAGACCUGCCCCCAGCCUCAGCCCUAGCUCCCUUACCCUGUCCAUGUCCUGCCAACCUUCCCCCCUCCCCCCGCCUGUGCGAGCUGCAGCCCUGGUCCUGGCUCCAGUGUGGGAGGGGCGUGACUGUGAAAAGUUUGGGGACCACUACACUAGACAGACUGGUAAAUUCUCUCAAAUAAAUUACAGAACGCAUAAAAAAAUCUAAAUUUCUGAAAUUAUCGUAAAAUGCUUUGAAAUCUACCAAAAAAAGUGCUAUUUAAGUGCUAAGUGUGAUGCUUCCAGAGAGUCCCUAGGGUUUUGAGGCCCCUCACUACCACCUUCUGUUAGCAUGAGGAAGUAGUGUCUGUGCCUGCCUUGGGUCAACUCCACCAGCCACAGGCAACACUAGCACUCUGCUCUAGGCCUCCAGGCCCCACUAUCACUCUACAGGUUGGCAAUAGGCAAACUCCAACCAUUGGGUCCACCAAGUGUCUUCCUGAAGUGUCCAACUCUCAGUAUUCACCAGUCCACUUUUCCAAGGAAGCGGUGCACUCCAGGUUACCUGUUGCACCUCAAAUCACUACUCCAUUCAACCCACAGCACGUAGGUUUAUUUAACAAAUCAUAGAGAUUUAAGUAGUACCACAUAGAAAUAUUGGAAAUAAAUAGUUACAUAUAAAACAAAAUCAUAACAUGCAUUCUAGAGCCUGGAAUUAACAAGAUACUCUCAUGUUGAACCAAGUAUUUGCUCACCCAAAAUCCCUAUAGAGCUUUACAGCCAGGCAGUCUGUGACUCUUCCUUCAUGAGACAUGCAUGCUGUCAGUUUGCCUCCUAGGUUAAGAAUUCAGUGUGUCUCGUUGCACUCCAAGUUAUACCAGUUCAAUACUUUUGUCUUUAUUCAUAAACAGGACACACACACCCUCUCUGUGUUCUCUGCCAGUUGGCACCAAAGGGUCCCUGGGUCACAGUAAGUAUUAGAUAUUACAGAAUUAAAGUAUAACCCACAUUUAGUAAAAUAAAUAUCAGAUGGUCCAUUGGGUGUACUUUGUAUUUAUACUGAUUCAAAAAGAAUCAAGAAUGAGGGGCAGAAGAAAAGAAUAUCAGGAAGAUUCUCACCUUGGUCUCUAAAAAGUGAAAGUGCUUUUUAUUCCUUUGCUCUUUUUUUUUUUGUGGUAAAUAUGAUUGUAACAGUGUCAAGAACUUGUGAGAACACUUCAUAUGAUGCCUAUUGCUGCUGCUAGCUUCUGCAGUGAUGGGCAUAGCAUCUCACUAUAUGGCCAAAAUAUAUUGUUCUAGAACUUCCAUAAUGAGGAACUAUCUUUAGUACAUCCACUCCCGUCUCCCACAGAACAUGUCUGUGCAAAACAAUUAUUAUUAACAUUUGUCUAUUGGGCCACAGUUGUACUGCAAUUGUACAGAAAUACCUGACCAAAGAUUCCUAUUAAAGGUGUAAAUUUGCUCUUUCUAUGCUGUUGUACUCACAUACAGCAUGCAUUCAUGAUAUCAAUUUUGAGGGCCCUUCUCAUAAAAGAAAUGAAUUAUGUACCUGUGGUUAACUUUUAAAGCAGACCCAAACCUGAAACAAAUCCUGUUUUAUGCAAAUAUCUGUUGUGACACAUGGGUAAUAUUUAGCCAAUGUGUCAGAGCAAUUUUACAGCCAGUGUUCAAAUUCAGAAUGAUGACCAAAAAAUUACUAUAGUAUCAUGUUGCUGCUGUUCUUGCCUCUUCUCAGCAUCAUGAGGCCAGCAGUCUACAUUCCUCCACACUCAAUUUCACAGCACAAUAGGUGCGAUGUGAAAGGUCACUAAAUACUUUUAACUAGUAUUUGGAAUGGGAUGCUUGAAGGGUGCACUCUGCCAAGGAGCACACAACCUGUAACAGAAUUAUAUAUUCCACCAAUACCCAAGAUCUGGAGGAACUAAAGUGUGUUAAAGAUCAGAGUAAUUCAUACUGAAAGCAAUUACUAUUGUAGGACAGAGGUGUAGUCAGGCUCCAUAGAAGUUGGAGAUAGAAGUGACCUAUUGGGGUCAUCUAUAACACCUCUUUCCAGUGUAGCACUGUACUUUACAGUUUAUUUUCUAGUGCUUUCUGUACUGUAUGAAUGGCAAUAACACCUAUCAGGAAUGACAACCACAAUGGCAUGAACUCAUUUCUCAGGCACAGGAGAGAAGCACAGAACAUACUAUUUAUUUUCACAAACAAAGACACACAAAAAACAAAAAGCCCCCCCCCCCCCCCCAAACAUGGGAAGAGUUUUUAGGUAUUUGCAUUAAAGAGCUUUUUUCUUUUUUGCUAUUCAAUAAGCUCUCAAACACUCUUAUUCUAAGGUCAGUCACAUUUUCCCCAGGUCUCUCUUCAAUCACUGGUAAAAUUUUGAAAAAGAAAAAUUAGGGAUGUUUUGUUACUGUAAAGGAAGAUAUUUAAUUAUUUAAUAACCUGAUUUACAUAUAUGUAGAUAAUUUGCAUAUAACCAUAUACUUCAGUUUAAAAAAAACUGUGAGGAUUUAGUGCUUCUGAAAUGUAUCGGCCUGACAGUCCUGCUGAUGGAAAUUUUCUGGUUAUCUACAGGACAGUGGCAGGGCAAGCUUCCCAAAACACAAGGCCCUGUCAGUAUAUCUUAGGCUUGGUCUACCCUACCAACUUAUGUUGGUAUAACUACAUCCCUUGGGGUGUGGAAAGUCCACCCCGAGAGAUGUAGUUAUACCCCAGUGCAGACAGUGCUAUGCUGAUAGGUGGGCUUCUGCUAAUAGGUGGGCUUCAGGGGAAUGGAGUAUCUAUGCCAAUGGGAGAAGCUGCUCUGGUACUAUAAGUGUAGACAAGCCCUCAAUCUUGGUUGAGGGGAGAGAGUUGGAACUUCCUUUACAGAUAACAGGGAUUGUUCAGUCCAUGACGCAUACGGAGUGUCAUGUUACACUCCCAGAGGGAUAUAAACAGUUUUUAAAGACACAUGCAGUAUUUAAACAUAUGAGUCAAUGCUGAUUUAGGAAUUGUCUCAUUACAAAAGCCUUCAUGUUCCAUCCCCAGUUCUUCUCAUCAUGCUUCUGAACUCCCUCUCAGUAUGGCUUAGAUGUCAGGUGUGACUGACAGUUUAAAAAUAAUCCCUGGAGAUCUGCAUUCAGGUAGUAGGUGAACCAUUAGGCUAGAGUCAAUCAGUCAUUGCUCAGUCACAAUCCACCCCUAGUAUUAAGUUAAUAGAGCUACACCAGAGAUGAAUUUGACCCUAUAUUCUAAUGAAUCUUAUAAAAUCAGUGAUUCAUAAGAAAUGUAGCGAAUUUCAGUAAGUAUGUGAAUUGAUCAGAGGCCAAAAAAAAAAAUUAAUUGAACUAA
This is a non-coding RNA of Chrysemys picta bellii (western painted turtle), 4192 nucleotides long. The record is from RefSeq and is a predicted model, not a curated record. Lineage: Eukaryota; Metazoa; Chordata; Testudines; Emydidae.